This is a non-coding RNA of Streptococcus sp. DORA_10, 186 nucleotides long. The record is from Rfam. Lineage: Bacteria; Bacillati; Bacillota; Bacilli; Lactobacillales; Streptococcaceae.
AAAUAUAUGGUACAAUAGUUUAACAGAGAAGUGAAGACGGUGGUUACAAAAUCGAAAGGAUGGUGAUGCUUAUGUGCAGAACCUGUAAAAUCUUAGUAGAAAGGAGUAACCAGAUUUGUCCCCUUUUGAGGCUUUGACACUCAUGUUUGUAGCUGGUAACUUUGUUAUCACGCUCCUAAGGUUCAU